Molecule: ribosomal RNA, 253 nt
Filed under: uncultured bacterium
Lineage: Bacteria
Description: partial 16S ribosomal RNA
Rfam family: Bacterial small subunit ribosomal RNA
Source: RNAcentral
UACAGAGGGUGCAAGCGUUGCUCGGAAUUAUUGGGCGUAAAGGGUAGGUAGGUGGUCUCAUUUGUCUGGGGUGAAAUCCUUGGGCUUAACUCAAGAGGUGCCCCAGAAACGGUGAGACUGGAGUCCUGGAGAGGGUCGUGGAAUUCCCGGUGUAGCGGUGAAAUGCGUAGAGACCGGGAGGAACACCAGAGGCGAAGGCGGCGACCUGGACAGGUACUGACACUCAACUACGAAAGCGUGGGGAGCAAACAGG